GACGAACGCUGGCGGCGUGCUUAACACAUGCAAGUCGAACGGAAAGGCCCUGCUUUUGUGGGGUGCUCGAGUGGCGAACGGGUGAGUAACACGUGAGUACCUGCCCUUGACUUUGGGAUAACUUCAGGAAACUGGGGCUAAUACCGGAUAGGAGCUCCUGCUGCAUGGUGGGGGUUGGAAAGUUUCGGCGGUUGGGGAUGGACUCGCGGCUUAUCAGCUUGUUGGUGGGGUAGUGGCUUACCAAGGCUUUGACGGGUAGCCGGCCUGAGAGGGUGACCGGCCACAUUGGGACUGAGAUACGGCCCAGACUCCUACGGGAGGCAGCAGUGGGGAAUAUUGCACAAUGGGCGGAAGCCUGAUGCAGCAACGCCGCGUGCGGGAUGACGGCCUUCGGGUGGUAAACCGCUUUCGCCUGUGACGAAGCGUGAGUGACGGUAAUGGGUAAAGAAGCACCGGCUAACUACGU
Molecule: ribosomal RNA, 466 nt
Filed under: uncultured bacterium
Lineage: Bacteria
Description: partial 16S ribosomal RNA
Rfam family: Bacterial small subunit ribosomal RNA
Source: RNAcentral